GACGAACGCUGGCGGCGUGCUUAACACAUGCAAGUCGAACGGAAAGGCCCUGCUUUUGUGGGGUGCUCGAGUGGCGAACGGGUGAGUAACACGUGAGUAACCUGCCCUUGACUUUGGGAUAACUUCAGGAAACUGGGGCUAAUACCGGAUAGGAGCUCCUGCUGCAUGGUGGGGGUUGGAAAGUUUCGGCGGUUGGGGAUGGACUCGCGGCUUAUCAGCUUGUUGGUGGGGUAGUGGCUUACCAAGGCUUUGACGGGUAGCCGGCCUGGGAGGGUGACCGGGCACAUUGGGACUGAGAGACGGCCCAGACUCCUACGGGAGGCAGCAGGGGGGAAUAUUGCACAAUGGGCGGAAGCCUGAUGCAGAAACGCCGCGUGCGGGAUGACGGCCUUCGGGUUGUAAACCGCUUUCGCCUGUGACGAAGCGUGAGUGACGGUAAUGGGUAAAGAAGCACCGGCUAACUACGUG
Molecule: ribosomal RNA, 468 nt
Filed under: uncultured bacterium
Lineage: Bacteria
Description: partial 16S ribosomal RNA
Rfam family: Bacterial small subunit ribosomal RNA
Source: RNAcentral